CUAUGCGAAGAAAAGAUAUGAAAAUCUUACGGAGGAAGAAAAAAAAGAAAACCUAAACUUUGUUACAAUAGGCAUUAAUUCUGCAAUACAAUUGCGAAAUUAUUUGUCUCAAAUUCUUUUUUAUGAUUAUUAUUACAAUAAUAAAUUAAAUCAAAAUUACUUCGAGAACUCAAUUGAUACUGUAUUGAAAUUCUAUAAUAAUGUAAAAGAAUUCAGUGGUAAUAUCGAUAAAUAUGUACAUCCUUUUCAUGAAAUUCUACUUUUUCCUGAUCGUCCACGAGAGCGUAUAAAUGUGCUAAAAUAUACGUUUUAUAUUGAGGAGAUUAAAUGCUGGUUAACACCAUUUCAACAAAAAAUUAAUCGCAAUUCAAUCCAAAAAUUUUGCAAUAUAAAAAUGUCUCACUAUGAAAAGCUAUCUUCGAUACGAAAUGAGUUGGACAGAUAUAGAGAUAUGCCUGAAAGAGAACAGCUUUUGGAAGAAACAUGUACUUUCAUAGCACAACAAAUUCAACCUCGAAAAGAUGUAUAUUACACGAAUGUAAGUGCAUCAUUGGAUACAAUCGCACAAGAGGUACUGAAUCGUCUCAGAGAGAAGCAUCCGAACCAUUCGAUAUUCUCCACGUCUGAAGAAACUUUUUCUUAUUGGAAAACCAACAAUAUCAAAGAUAAUUAUAAGGACCAAACAGAAAGUAUGCAGAUUAUGGAUACACUUCAGGAAUAUAUAUUUGACACUUUGAACUUUCGAGUAUGUAUCUUCGUACCCGAAGAUAUCAAAUGUUUGUGUAUAGAUUAUGUUUUACGAAAAAAAUAUGGUCAAGAUAUCAU
This is a non-coding RNA of Nylanderia fulva, 825 nucleotides long. Lineage: Eukaryota; Metazoa; Arthropoda; Insecta; Hymenoptera; Formicidae. The record is from RefSeq and is a predicted model, not a curated record.